UCCAGACUCCUACGGGAGGCAGCAGUGGGGAAUAUUGCACAAUGGGCGAAAGCCUGAUGCAGCAACGCCGCGUGAAGGAAGAAGGCCUUCGGGUCGUAAACUUCUGUCCUUGGGGAAGAAGAACUGACGGUACCCAAGGAGGAAGCCCCGGCUAACUACGUGCCAGCAGCCGCGGUAAUACGUAGGGGGCAAGCGUUGUCCGGAUUGACUGGGCGUAAAGGGAGCGUAGGCGGUUUGGUAAGUCAAAUGUGAAAGCCCGUAGCUUAACUACGGAAUUGCAUUUGAUACUGCUAGACUUGAGUUCAGGAGAGGUAAGUAGAAUUCCUAGUGUAGCGGUGGAAUGCGUAGAUAUUAGGAGGAAUACCAGUGGCGAAGGCGGCUUGCUGGAAUGACACUGACGCUGAGGCUCGAAAGCGUGGGGAGCAAACAGGAUUAGAUACCCCGGUA
This 447-nucleotide ribosomal RNA is filed under the name uncultured bacterium. Its description in RNAcentral is "bacterial SSU rRNA". It matches the Rfam family "Bacterial small subunit ribosomal RNA", at positions 330 to 792 of the family's 1533-position model. The record is from RNAcentral.